GGAAUUAUGUAGCUACACUCCCUGAGACAAGGAGUGGGAAGAGAGAGAGAGAGUGCACAAGCAUGAGCUUGUAAUAGUACCUAGGUUUCCCUAGUUUCAUUAUGUGAUCUGAUGGACUCUGGGACCUGAUAUGCCCAUGCUACACUGAAGAAAGAAGCUUGGUUCUCGUACUAAUUAACUCCAUGACUAGGAUGAAAAGAGAAGUGGACUCAGCACAUUGCCUUGUCUCAAUCCCAUGAUUACCUCCAAACUCCCUGAAAUUCCAUGUUUUGAUACCACCUUAGCUCUUGAUCCUCGAUACAACUCCUCUAUCAUCUCUACUUCUUGAAGUCCCGCUCCCAUCCAUCUCAACACUCCAAACACCAGUUUCCACAAAACCAACUCAUAUGCUUUCUCAAGAUCAAUAAAUGCUACAUAGCAGCUAUGCCCUCCAUUUGUCAUUAUUUAAAACUUCUGUCUUUUUGCAAAUAUUGCAUCUAUAGUACUUCUCUUCCUAA
Mauremys reevesii (Reeves's turtle) is the source of this 497-nucleotide long non-coding RNA. RefSeq lists it as uncharacterized. The record is from RefSeq and is a predicted model, not a curated record. Lineage: Eukaryota; Metazoa; Chordata; Testudines; Geoemydidae. The transcript is spliced from 3 exons.